AGCAAUUGCAGUCUAAAAUACUACUCUGCAAAAAACAUUUCAUGUAUUUUCAGGAAUUUAUUGUUCAUUUACAGUCUAAGUUAACUGACUGUGGUGCUCAGCACUACACAGGUGACUCAAUUUUCCUCCUUGCUCCUUCAGAAACAAGCUAGUUAAAAAGCUUCCCGGUCAGCCUGUGAAAGAUACACUGCAAUGACUACAUAAAAUGCUACUGAGAUUGUGUAACUUGAGGGGGGAAAAAAAAAUAGAAGGUACCUUGGAAAACUAUCAAGCACUUGUUGAGAAAUUUGGAUUACAUACCAUUCCACAUCACUGAAGUUAAAUGCCAUUAAAUUCUGUUCUUUUUGUCUGACAAAUAAAAUGAACAAAUGCA
Molecule: long non-coding RNA, 373 nt
Organism: Chiroxiphia lanceolata (lance-tailed manakin)
Lineage: Eukaryota; Metazoa; Chordata; Aves; Passeriformes; Pipridae
Exons: 2
Source: RefSeq, a predicted model, not a curated record